UACGUAGGGGGCUAGCGUUGUCCGGAAUCAUUGGGCGUAAAGCGCGUGUAGGCGGUUCGGUAGGUCCGCUGUGAAAGGCGGGGGCUCAACCCUCGGAUGCCGGUGGAUACUGUCGGACUAGAGUACGGAAGAGGCGAGUGGAAUUCCUGGUGUAGCGGUGAAAUGCGCAGAUAUCAGGAGGAACACCGAUUGCGAAGGCAGCUCGCUGGGACGUUACUGACGCUGAGACGCGAAAGCGUGGGGAGCAAACAGG
Molecule: ribosomal RNA, 253 nt
Filed under: uncultured bacterium
Lineage: Bacteria
Description: partial 16S ribosomal RNA
Rfam family: Bacterial small subunit ribosomal RNA
Source: RNAcentral